This 253-nucleotide ribosomal RNA is filed under the name uncultured bacterium. RNAcentral describes it as "partial 16S ribosomal RNA". It matches the Rfam family "Bacterial small subunit ribosomal RNA", at positions 524 to 776 of the family's 1533-position model. The record is from RNAcentral.
UACAGAGGUCUCAAGCGUUGUUCGGAUUCAUUGGGCGUAAAGGGUGCGUAGGCGGCGCGGUAAGUCGGGUGUGAAAUCUCGGAGCUUAACUCCGAAACUGCAUUCGAUACUGCCGUGCUUGAGGACUGGAGAGGAGACUGGAAUUUACGGUGUAGCGGUGAAAUGCUUAGAUAUGACAUAGAACACCGAUAGCGGAGGCAGCUUACUACGCGAUUAUUGACACUGAGGCACGAAAGCGUGGGGAUCAAACAGG